This 254-nucleotide ribosomal RNA is filed under the name uncultured bacterium. RNAcentral's name for it is "partial 16S ribosomal RNA". It matches the Rfam family "Bacterial small subunit ribosomal RNA", at positions 524 to 776 of the family's 1533-position model. The record is from RNAcentral.
UACAGGGGGUGCAAACGUUGCUCGGAAUUAUUGGGCGUAAAGCGCGCGUAGGCGGUGACUCAAGUCGGAUGUGAAAGCCCUUGGCUUAACCUGGAGACGCCACUUGAUACUGCUGUGGCUAGAGUCCGGUAGGGGAGCAUGGAAUUCCUGGUGUAGCGGUGAAAUGCGCAGAUAUCAGGAGGAACACCAGUGGCGAAGGCGGUGCUCUGGGCCGGAACUGACGCUGAGGAGCGAAAGCGUGGGGAGCAAACAGG